This 1241-nucleotide long non-coding RNA is filed under the name Junco hyemalis (dark-eyed junco). Its description in RNAcentral is "lncRNA (ENSJHYG00000010241.1)". The record is from RNAcentral. Lineage: Eukaryota; Metazoa; Chordata; Aves; Passeriformes; Passerellidae.
UGCCCGAGGAGCCCCCCGGGCUGGGGGCGGCCGGCGGAGCUCGGCCUCGGUACAUACCCCGGGCGGGGGGAAAAGCCACCAACAAAAAAACCCAACAACAGAAAGCACACCAAACCCAUCGGGGCUGGAGAAGGGGUGUUCCUCCGUGUUCAAGGAGCUGAGGCGGGGUUGGGUGACACGAAGUGUUGGGGACAGCGCUUGGCACCGGCGGGUCCUGCGGGGCUCUCCCGGAGCGCCUUAUAUGGCGGGGGCGGGGGGCCCGGCUGCAGGCUGAGCCCUGCCGGGGCAGCGGGUGCGGGAACCCGCGGGGUGCAGGCUCCGUGUCCUUCUGGGGACACACGGAGCGGAGACGGGGAUCUCCGAGGAGACCCCAUCCCGCCGGAAGGGAGGACCAUAGCAACCUUCCCGGCCACGAAAGGUGACGCGGCUGUGAAGGGACUCGUUUGCCUCUCUGGGGGAACAGGGGACCCUCGUGAAACAGGAGACGAACAAACAAAGCCCAUCUCACUGCCCCCACGCCAUCCCCCGCCUCCCGGGAGCCUGAGCAAGGAGAAGCUGAUUAAUUCUCCCGGGUCGCCCCGGCAAUCCCGGGGCCGCUCCGCUUUGCCGCCGUCCUGCAAACCCUGCUCGGCUGCAGCCCAGGAGGAGGAGGAGGAGGAAGAGGAGGAGGAAGGGCAGCGCCCAGGCAGCAUUAGUCACAAGCACCGCCGUGACAGUGCUCCUGUCUGAGGCUGCAGGAAUAGAGCCAACAGCGAGAUCACCGGGCGCUGACUUUUCUUGGGGCGUUUGCAGAAAUGUACAAAUACGGGGCCUGCCGGUUUCCAUAAACAACUUUCAGGACACAGUCAAUCAAUCACGCUGGCAAGCAAGCAGACCAGGAGCCUAGGAUAUAUACAAGGCAUAAAUAUAUGUGUAUAAACCCUGUCAAUUCUGGAGUAGUUACAAUUUUUUUUUCUAUAAGCCUAAGGGAAACCAUAUCUAGAAAGAUUCUGACAAGUCAGGAAAUCACAGUGGAAAAGUAGAAGGUAUUGUUAGAAAGUUAUGGUACAUUGUGUGUUUUAAUACCAGCAACAGAAAUAUUGGGAAACAGAAAGGAAAAAGUGUCUAAGCAAGUCAAAGAUUUAUAAAAACCAUAAAACAUUAUGCUUACAGUCAGAGAGACAAUUUCAAAAAUAUGUGGCUGAAAACAUGAAACCUGACCACUUUAAAAUAAAAUGCAAUAGAUAUAUUUGUAAAGGACA